UUAACGUCUGAAAUAUGUGGA
This is a non-coding RNA of Caenorhabditis elegans, 21 nucleotides long. Lineage: Eukaryota; Metazoa; Nematoda; Chromadorea; Rhabditida; Rhabditidae. The record is from Ensembl.